UUAUUUAUAGAUCUCAGCAUUUCCGACCACACUUGAAGGCAGCUUCAUUUCCCGGAGAAAGAGAGUAAGAAAAGAGACGGAGGGACUGAGAAAACAGUCGGCUGUUCCACAAACUCCUGGGCAGUUCAGUGCUUUGGUGUUUUAAAACUUUCUUGGGGCAGCGAUAGAGGCAGUGAUGUUUCCUGUUUCCUGUUUCCUGUACGGGACUCUCACACCGCCUCAAAACACUCUGACAAGUCUGAUCCACGCUGACUGGCCACCAUUACAUUGUUGCGUUUCUCCAAAAGUUGCAUGACACAGACUCACCUCCAUCACCGCUAUGUCCCUGGACAUCUGUCUCUGGACUUUAGGGUGUUGGACCUUGAUGGCCACUGUCCUCCCAUCAUGCAGCACUGCCUUGUGGACCUGGGCUAAGGAGGCUGCACCCUGAGGCUUCUCUUCAAAGGAGACAAAUAACUCUGACAGCUGCAGGAGAGACAUAGGGAUGAAGAAGAAAAGAGUGCAGAGCACAGAGUAAACAGAAUGAUAAAGAAGAUGGGAUGGAAAGGGGUGUGUGGAGUUGGGAUUGGGAUAGGAGUCUGAUCAUCAAUCUGAUCAUCUUUAUUUACAAGCUAUUAUUAGAUAUUUUACAAUGAAAGAGGUUAAACAAAUUACAGUGGGUAUAACUAUGAUUAAUUAUGUCCAUUUCUGCUUUGGCCAAGUAUGGAUUUGUUAUGCCAUGGCAAUAACACACCAAAUCAACUGAAGCAAGGGGAGCUAAUUGAUAUGCAAUAAUGUAAUGAUGAUGGUUGUAUUAGGCCUGUGUUUGAGACUACUGACCUGAAACCAAACUGACUGAGACCAAGAAGAGGAAACACAAGAGGCGCAAUAGGAUUUUUUUUACUGAUACUAUGACAACUGUGAAUUCUCAAAUAGCGGUCUUUAUUUACCUCAACUGCCGGGCCUUUAUCUGAGACAGGCUUAUAUUAGAGAUAUAGGCCAUUAACUGUUAUAAGUAUCCUUUAUCAUCAUUUAGUAAGAAGCCUCCCUGUUUAGUGUUCUCAUCUGUUUUAAUUAGCUGUUAAUAGAAGCUCAACACUUCCUCUGUGUUUACGUGUCCUCUUGUACUGUAUAAUGUAUUUCAGUAUAUUGUACAUUUCCACAGCACUAAGUCCAUCAGCACAAAAACUUGUCAUGUAGUCUCACAUUAAUAGAUGUCUCCACAGUGCUGUCUCAGAGCUGGAGUAGGGUCUGGCAACAUUAUAGUAUACUGUAAAAAAACGCUGUUUGUAUUUCUUUAAACCAAUCACAAUCGUCUUGGCUGGUGCUAAGCCCUGGAUGCAGCGACGGAACCUCUGCAAAAUAGAUAAAUAGCAGAAGGGGAGGUGAAUGCCUGACACAUGACAGAGUUCCUCCAACACAGCAAAUGUCAGAGCCAACUCCUGAGCAGGUUCUCUUGACACUUGCUGUGACACCUCAACUUCCACCUGCACAGACUCUUACACUCAGAACUAGAUCUGGUAGAGCCAUUGUUCCACCCGGAAGACAUAAUAACCUGUAAACGGGAAAAAGUGAAAAAUAAAAAGAGUGUUAAA
This is a long non-coding RNA of Perca fluviatilis (European perch), 1574 nucleotides long. RefSeq lists it as uncharacterized. Lineage: Eukaryota; Metazoa; Chordata; Actinopteri; Perciformes; Percidae. The transcript is spliced from 2 exons. The record is from RefSeq and is a predicted model, not a curated record.